CCUAUGGGAGACAGCAGUGAGGAAUAUUGGUCAAUGGGCGCGAGCCUGAACCAGCCAAGUCGCGUGAGGGAGGACGGCCCUACGGGUUGUAAACCUCUUUUGCCGGGGAGCAACGGGCGUCACGUGUGGCGCCACUGAGAGUACCCGGAGAAAAAGCAUCGGCUAACUCCGUGCCAGCAGCCGCGGUAAUACGGAGGAUGCGAGCGUUAUCCGGAUUUAUUGGGUUUAAAGGGUGCGUAGGCGGAUCGUUAAGUCAGUGGUCAAAUUGAGGGGCUCAACCCCUUCCCGCCAUUGAAACUGGCGCUCUUGAGUGGAAGAGAAGUAUGCGGAAUGCGUGGUGUAGCGGUGAAAUGCAUAGAUAUCACGCAGAACUCCGAUUGCGAAGGCAGCUUACUAAACUAUAACUGACACUGAAGCACGAAAGCGUGGGGAUCAAACAGGAUUAGAUACCCCAGUAGUC
Molecule: ribosomal RNA, 460 nt
Filed under: uncultured bacterium
Lineage: Bacteria
Description: partial 16S ribosomal RNA
Rfam family: Bacterial small subunit ribosomal RNA
Source: RNAcentral